UCCGUCGUCUGUUGUGGUCGUCGUCUGUCGUCGUAAACUAUUUCAAGAAUCUUCUCCUCUGAAACUACUAGGCCAAAUACUUCCAAACUUUAACUGAAUGUUCCUUAGGGUAUCUAGUUUAUAAAUUGUAUCCGUAGUUUUGAUUUAUCAACAAACAUGGUCGCCAUUGCUAAAAAUAAAACAUAGGGGUCAAAUGCAGUUUUU
This 204-nucleotide long non-coding RNA is filed under the name Mytilus galloprovincialis (Mediterranean mussel). Lineage: Eukaryota; Metazoa; Mollusca; Bivalvia; Mytilida; Mytilidae. The record is from RNAcentral.